AUGCUGCCGUCUUCUCCUCCUACUCCGUCGGCCCCCGUCUCCUCUGCUUCCUCUGCCGCCUUGGACCGUGCUGCCGACGAACUGAGCCGGCUGCGGGAGGAUCUUCGGAGCGCGGACCUCCGCCUGGUGGCCGGGCGCCUGGAGUUAGUCUCCAGCUGGGCUAGCUCUGACGCCUCCGUUCGGGCGGCGCUGAGCCAGGCUGUGACGGCUUCCGAGGAGGGGAAGCAAGCCACCUCCCAAGCCAUGGCCGCCCGCGACGAGGCGCUGAAGGACGCUUCCACCGCCAAGGGCCAUUGCAAGACGCUGGAGGGCGAAUUGCAAGGGCUGCGUGAUGAGCUCGCCAAGGAGAUUCGCGACCGCCAGGCGAAGGAGGAGGAGAUGAAAGCUCGGGAGGCUGCUAUCAAGGAGCGCGACGCCGAAUUGUUAGCCGACCGUGACCAGCUGAAGACGCUGGAGCAGGCGCUGAAGGUGGAGAGGGUCGAGCUGGAUGCCGGGGCGAAGAUCCUGGCCGAAGACCGCACGGCCUUCGUGCUCUACGAGGAGAGGGCCCGCGUAGCGCUGAAAACGCUCUACGACGGGGGCCUGGAGAAGCCGCUGGCCGGAGCCAAGGAAGGCCCCGCUAAGCUGGUUCCCUUCCUCGUCGAGGCGCUUGAGGAGGUCGUGAUCGGCAUCGGCCCCAUGGCUAAAGUCGAGGCUCGCGUCCUCUCCUCCGCAGCACUGACGCGGAUCCUUAGCCACGUCUACCUCCGCAACCCCGACGCCAGCCUCGAUGACCUGCUGGAGCCCGUGGACGCCAAGUGCUCCGCCGCCGCCGCUGAAGCCGUCAAGGGUCGAGCGGAGGCCUUGCUGUCGAAGUUCCGCGCCUUCAACACCGCGCCCAAGCGAGGUGCUGCCGGCCCCGCAACUCCAGGUGGUGGGGCUACCAAGCGCGACUCUACCACGAGCGGUGGCGCGGCCCAGGGGUGA
Molecule: ribosomal RNA, 966 nt
Filed under: Triticum aestivum (bread wheat)
Lineage: Eukaryota; Viridiplantae; Streptophyta; Magnoliopsida; Poales; Poaceae
Description: partial small subunit ribosomal RNA
Source: RNAcentral